UACGUAGGGUGCAAGCGUUAAUCGGAAUUACUGGGCGUAAAGCGUGCGCAGGCGGUUCUAUACGACAGAUGUGAAAUCCCCGGGCUCAACCUGGGAACUGCAUUUGUGACUGUAGAGCUGGAGUACGGUAGAGGGGGAUGGAAUUCCGCGUGUAGCAGUGAAAUGCGUAGAUAUGCGGAGGAACACCGAUGGCGAAGGCAAUCCCCUGGACUGACACUGACGCUCAGGCACGAAAGCGUGGGGAGCAAACAGG
This 253-nucleotide ribosomal RNA is filed under the name uncultured bacterium. RNAcentral describes it as "partial 16S ribosomal RNA". It matches the Rfam family "Bacterial small subunit ribosomal RNA", at positions 524 to 776 of the family's 1533-position model. The record is from RNAcentral.